AGAGUUUGAUCCUGGCUCAGGAUGAACGCUAGCGACAGGCUUAACACAUGCAAGUCGAGGGGCAGCACGAUUGAAGCUUGCUUUAAUUGGUGGCGACCGGCGCACGGGUGAGUAACGCGUAUGCAACCUACCCAUCAGAGGGGGAUAACCCGGCGAAAGUCGGACUAAUACCGCAUAAAACAGGGGUUCCGCAUGGGGAUAUUUGUUAAAGGAUUUAUUGCUGAUGGAUGGGCAUGCGUUCCAUUAGAUAGUUGGUGAGGUAACGGCUCACCAAGUCUGCGAUGGAUAGGGGUUCUGAGAGGAAGGUCCCCCACACUGGUACUGAGACACGGACCAGACUCCUACGGGAGGCAGCAGUGAGGAAUAUUGGUCAAUGGGCGAGAGCCUGAACCAGCCAAGUCGCGUGCAGGAUGACUGCCCUAUGGGUUGUAAACUUCUUUUAUUGGGGAAUAAUGGGUAGGACGUGUCCUGCAAGAGAAUGUACCCUAUGAAUAAGCAUCGGCUAACUCCGUGCCAGCAGCCGCGGUAAUACGGAGGAUGCGAGCGUUAUCCGGAUUUAUUGGGUUUAAAGGGUGCGUAGGUGGCCUUUUAAGUCAGCGGUGAAAGUUUGUCGCUUAACGAUAAAAUUGCCGUUGAAACUGUUAGUCUUGAGUGUGUUUGAGGUAGGCGGAAUGCGUGGUGUAGCGGUGAAAUGCAUAGAUAUCACGCAGAACUCCGAUUGCGAAGGCAGCUUACUAAGCUAUAACUGACACUGAAGCACGAAAGCGUGGGUAUCAAACAGGAUUAGAUACCCUGGUAGUCCACGCUGUAAACGAUGAUUACUAGGGGUUUGCGAUAUACUGUAAGUUCUACAGCGAAAGCGUUAAGUUAUCCACCUGGGGAGUACGCCGGCAACGGUGAAACUCAAAGGAAUUGACGGGGGCCCGCACAAGCGGAGGAACAUGUGGUUUAAUUCGAUGAUACGCGAGGAACCUUACCCGGGUUUGAACGCAUUUUGACCGACCGGGAAACCGGUUUUCUAGCAAUAGCAAUUUGCGAGGUGCUGCAUGGUUGUCGUCAGCUCGUGCCGUGAGGUGUCGGCUUAAGUGCCAUAACGAGCGCAACCCUUAUCAUUAGUUACCAGCAGUUAGAUGGGGACUCUAAUGAGACUGCCAGCGUAAGCUGUGAGGAAGGUGGGGAUGACGUCAAAUCAGCACGGCCCUUACAUCCGGGGCGACACACGUGUUACAAUGGGUAGGACAGAGAGCUGCCAACUGGCGACAGUGAGCUAAUCUAUAAACCUAUUCUCAGUUCGGAUUGGAGUCUGCAACUCGACUCCAUGAAGCUGGAUUCGCUAGUAAUCGCGCAUCAGCCAUGGCGCGGUGAAUACGUUCCCGGGCCUUGUACACACCGCCCGUCAAGCCAUGGGAGCUGGGGGUACCUAAAGUCCGUAACCGCAAGGAUCGGCCUAGGGUAAAACUAGUGACUGGGGCUAAGUCGUAACAAGGUAGCCGUACCGGAAGGUGCGGCUG
RNAcentral lists this ribosomal RNA (1511 nucleotides) under Blattella germanica (German cockroach). RNAcentral describes it as "bacterial SSU rRNA". It matches the Rfam family "Bacterial small subunit ribosomal RNA". Lineage: Eukaryota; Metazoa; Arthropoda; Insecta; Blattodea; Blattellidae. The record is from RNAcentral.